This 589-nucleotide long non-coding RNA is filed under the name Phasianus colchicus (ring-necked pheasant). Its description in RNAcentral is "lncRNA (ENSPCLG00000003969.1)". Lineage: Eukaryota; Metazoa; Chordata; Aves; Galliformes; Phasianidae. The record is from RNAcentral.
CCCCCCCGCCGCGCUCGGUGGUGCAGGCGGGGGGCGCUGGGGCGGGCGCCGCCCGCGGGAGGGGGCGGCACGGCCGGGAGCCGCGUGAGGAGGAGGUGGAGAAGGAGGAGGAAGUUUAUUGCCGAAGGGGAGCGGAGGGCAGCCCGGCGCCGCGUGAGCCCGCCGGGACCCAUGUGUCUGGGCUGCUGGAGGAGCCCGGGGGUCGGGCGUGCUGCGGUAUCGCCGCACUGUCUUCGCCCCGUGCCCCGUGCCCCGUGCCCCGUGCCAGCCUCAUAUCUGCGGGCAUCGCUGCUUCGUGCGUCCGCUGGGCUGGCGGGGCGCGAGCGUGAGUCGGAGCGGGAGCGUCAAUAAAAGCUGCGGGGGAACUGGGCGCGAGGAGAGCCGCGCGUCUUCAGGGGUGGCACGGAGCUGCGGGAAGGGUGUCGAGCGGAGAGCAGCGAUGGCUUCCUGCGGAGCUGUCACCAAGGCUGCUGUGCGGUGUUGGUGCUUUGCAGUGCAGCUCGGGAACGCUGCUGGCAUCCUGCCCCACAGCCAUGUAAAUUUUCCUCUAUACGAAUGUUCAUUGUUGCCUUCUACAUUCCUCUGCUGA